RNAcentral lists this ribosomal RNA (425 nucleotides) under uncultured bacterium. Its description in RNAcentral is "partial 16S ribosomal RNA". It matches the Rfam family "Bacterial small subunit ribosomal RNA", at positions 354 to 796 of the family's 1533-position model. The record is from RNAcentral.
GUUAGGAAUAUUGGACAAUGGGCGCAAGCCUGAUCCAGCCAUGCCGCGUGAACGAUGAAGGCCUUCGGGUUGUAAAGUUCUUUAGCCGAUGAUUAUAAUGACUGUAGUCGGAAAAUAAGCCCCGGCUAACUUCGUGCCAGCAGCCGCGGUAAUACGAAGGGGGCGAGCGUUAUUCGGAAUCACUGGGCGUAAAGCGUGCGUAGGCGGUCUCGUAAGUUAGGAGUGAAAGCCCAGGGCUCAACCUUUGAAUUGCUCUUAAAACUGCAAGGCUAGAAUCUCGGAGAGGAUAGCGAAAUUUCCAGUGUAGCAGUGAAAUGCGUAGAUAUUGGAAGGAACACCAGUGGCGUAAGCGGCUAUCUGGACGAGUAUUGACGCUGAGGCACGAAAGCGUGGGGAUCAAACAGGAUUAGAAACCCUGGUAGUCC